CCUACGGGAGGCUGCAGUCGAGAAUCAUUCACAAUGGGGGAAACCCUGAUGGUGCGACGCCGCGUGGGGGAAUGAAGGUCUUCGGAUUGUAAACCCCUGUCAUGUGGGAGCAAAUUAAAAAGAUAGUACCACAAGAGGAAGAGACGGCUAACUCUGUGCCAGCAGCCGCGGUAAUACAGAGGUCUCAAGCGUUGUUCGGAAUCACUGGGCGUAAAGCGUGCGUAGGCUGUUUCGUAAGUCGUGUGUGAAAGGCGCGGGCUCAACCCGCGGACGGCACAUGAUACUGCGAGACUAGAGUAAGGGAGGGGGAACCGGAAUUCUCGGUGUAGCAGUGAAAUGCGUAGAUAUCGAGAGGAACACUCGGGGCGAAGGCGGGUUCCUGGACAUUAACUGACGCUGAGGCACGAAGGCCAGGGGAGCGAAAGGGAUUAGAUACCCCAGUAGUC
This 446-nucleotide ribosomal RNA is filed under the name uncultured bacterium. RNAcentral's name for it is "partial 16S ribosomal RNA". It matches the Rfam family "Bacterial small subunit ribosomal RNA", at positions 338 to 795 of the family's 1533-position model. The record is from RNAcentral.